AUUGAACGCUGGCGGCAUGCCUUACACAUGCAAGUCGAACGGCAGCGGACCUUCGGGUGCCGGCGAGUGGCGAACGGGUGAGUAAUAUAUCGGAACGUACCUUUCAGUGGGGGAUAACGUAGCGAAAGUUACGCUAAUACCGCAUAUUCUGUGAGCAGGAAAGCAGGGGAUCGCAAGACCUUGCGCUGAUUGAGCGGCCGAUAUCAGAUUAGCUAGUUGGUGAGGUAAAGGACUCACCAAGGCGACGAUCUGUAGCGGGUCUGAGAGGAUGAUCCGCCACACUGGAACUGAGACACGGUCCAGACUCCUACGGAGGCAGCAGUGGGGAAUUUUGGACAAUGGGCGCAAGCCUGAUCCAGCCAUGCCGCGUGAGUGAGAAGG
RNAcentral lists this ribosomal RNA (381 nucleotides) under uncultured bacterium. RNAcentral describes it as "bacterial SSU rRNA". It matches the Rfam family "Bacterial small subunit ribosomal RNA", at positions 30 to 413 of the family's 1533-position model. The record is from RNAcentral.